Long non-coding RNA from Triticum urartu, 1396 nucleotides. RefSeq lists it as uncharacterized. Lineage: Eukaryota; Viridiplantae; Streptophyta; Magnoliopsida; Poales; Poaceae. The record is from RefSeq and is a predicted model, not a curated record.
AGGACCCCCAAACGAACCCGUAGCCUCACAUCCAGUCGUGCUAACCCUAUCCGCGCCUCCCCCAAUUUCCGUCGCCGCCGCUCGACCUCGGGGUCUCCAUCCUCGGACCCUUCCCUACCGCCACCGGUGCCCAUAGCCCCGAGCUCCCGGCCCCCUCCGUCGUCUGCCUUCCCCGUCCCCUUCGCUGCCACCACAUGGGCAUCUUCGCUGGUCUGAGUCCCCGCUGAUGCCGGUGAGCAUAUCCCAGAUCCCCUGACCCCAUCCGCUGCAAGCCUUCCCCGGUGUCGCAGCCGCCAACACCUCCGUCCGCCGGGACCUUCACCGACCAUGCCAACACCCUCCUCUUCCUUCUCUCAGGAAAGGAUCUCAUGUCCAACAAGCUCGGCCACACCUCCACCAAUGGUGGAACCUCUGAUGAAUGGUUUCUGCAAAGCUCGUCUACUCGUCACCAACAGCAACGCUCAUCCUCGGCGACCACAUAAUGAACUUUUUCUGCAGUACAUUGUAUGGAGUUUGGGUAUGAAGCCCAUGAAUAUCCCUGACCAGCGGAGUGUUCCAAGUAGAAACGAAAAGUUGUUCCGUUUCUAUCUUUAGUCGCUCUGUUUGCAAUGUUACCACCAAUAUGUCCCGGGCUGAAGUUCACACCACUUUCCUAGAGGAUCUUGCAGAGGAUUACCAUGGGGACACUUAUCACUUGAUUGUCAGAAACUGUAACCAUUUCACAGCUGACGUCUGCAAGCACUUCACGGGAAAGCCAACUCCUGGAUGGGUGAAUCGACUUGCCAGAUUAGCACUAGGUUCCAUCCGCAACUCUGUGCUGACUGAAAUCAUCAAGGUUUCAGCGGUUAGAGGUGAAACUGCACACCUUGAAUUCUCUGCCGAGAACCACAACCACCAGCAUGCAGCGCAGGCAAUUGGUGGAGAAUGGAUGGUUGCCCACUUCACGUAAAGCAGAUAGCGAAUGGUGGGUGGAAGGCUACCUCACAGGGAACCAGGGCCACGACUUGCAGUGGGCAACCGGUGGCGAAUGGAGGGCUUCUUCGCCGGGUACAUCAACUAUUAGGUACUUACCCAACUGGUGCACUUGGAUGUGAUGGCUUUGCAGUGUUUAUGGACCAACCAACCUGUAAUCAUGGAUACUACAUGUCAUGUAGACCAUUUGGUGUUUCGGAGCUUGCACUUUGUGAAUGUAGAUAUGAACUUGUGUGUUCUAGACCAUCUUAGUUGAAGUCUGUCAUACUAGCAAAUAGUCCCCAUCUUUUUGUAACUUGUGUGUUCUGGAUGAUUGUUAAGAUGGCCAAAACUAUGCUUUGUCAAGAUUGAUGUGUUUUUCUACUUGUGUUCAAUGUAUAUACAUGAUUCUGAACAUAUUUCAUUGCGGUACAGUAUGUGUUCA